This 439-nucleotide ribosomal RNA is filed under the name uncultured bacterium. RNAcentral describes it as "bacterial SSU rRNA". It matches the Rfam family "Bacterial small subunit ribosomal RNA", at positions 772 to 1205 of the family's 1533-position model. The record is from RNAcentral.
ACGGAAUAGAUACCCUGGUAGUCCACGUCCUAAACGAUGUCUACUAGUUGUUGGUGGAGUAAAAUCCAUGAGUAAACGCAGCUAAACGCGUGAAGUAGACCGGCCUGGGGAGUACGGUCGCAAGAUUAAAAACUCAAAUGGAAUUGACGGGGGCCCGCACAAGCGGUGGAUUAUGUGGAUUAAUUCGAUGACAACGCGAAAACCUUACCUGGCCUUGACAUGUAACGAACUUUCCAGAGAUGGAUUGGUGCUCGAAAGAGAACGUUAACACAGGUGCUGCAUGGCUGUCGUCAGCUCGUGUCGUGAGAUGUUGGGUUAAGUCCCGCAACGAGCGCAACCCUUGCCAUUAAUUGCCAUCAUUUAGUUGGGCACUUUAAUGGGACUGCCGGUGACAAACCGGAGGAAGGUGGGGAUGACGUCAAGUCCUCAUGGCCCUUAU